RNAcentral lists this long non-coding RNA (4527 nucleotides) under Homo sapiens (human). Lineage: Eukaryota; Metazoa; Chordata; Mammalia; Primates; Hominidae. The record is from RNAcentral.
AUAAAUUUCACAAAAUAUAUGCAAGAUUGUACAAUGAAAACUAUGACAUUGCUGAGGGAAAUGAAUAAGACUUAAAUGAAGAAAUAUACUGUAUUCAUGGGAUGAAAGACUGAGUGUUGUUAAGAUGUCAAUUAUUCCCAAAUUGAUCUACAGAUUCAAUAUAAUUUCAGGCAAAAUUCCUACUGGUCUUCUGUAGAAAUUGACAAGCUGAUUCUAAAAUGUUUCUGGAAAUACAAACAACCUAAAAUAGUCAAAAUAAUUUUGAAAGAGGACAAAGUUACAGAUCUUGUAUAUCUGAUUUUAAGAUGUACUAUAAAGCAAUGGUAAUAAAGGGUAGAUAAAUAACAGUGCAAAAGAAGAUACUGCUUAGAAACAAACCAACUCAUAUAUGGUCAAUUUUUUUUUUUUUUACAAACAUGACAAGGUACUUUAAGUGAAAGGAUAUCCUCUUCAACAAAUGGUGCUGGAACAAGUGAAUAUCCAUAUACAAACAAAUGAACCUAACUCUUGUCUCACACUAGACACAAAAAUUAACUUGAAAAAGAUAAUAGACCUGAAUGCGAGAGCAAACACUAUAAAACUUCUCGAAGAGCGGGCGCAGUGGCUCACGCCUGUAAUCUCAAGAAAUUUGGGAGGUCAAGGUGGGCGGAACACGAGGUCAAGACAUUGAGAUCAUCCUGGCCAACAUGGUGAAACCCCAUCUCUACUAAAAAUACAAAAAUUAGCCAGGCAUGGUGGCGUGCGCCUGUAAUCCCAGCUACUCGGGAGGCUGGGGCAAGAGAAUCACUUGAACCUGGGAGACAGAGGUUGUAGUGAGCUGAGAUCGCACCACUGCACUCCAGCCUGGUGACAGAGCGAGACUUCGUCUCAAUAAAUUAAUUAAUUAAUUAAAUUAAAUUAAAUUAAACUUCUAGAAGAAACCAUAUAAAAGAAAAAUCUGUAUUAGGCCAAGAUUUCUUAGAUAUGAAACCAGAAGUACUGUCUAUUAAAAAAUUGAUAAAUUAGAUUUUCAUCAAAAUUAAAAAUGUCUCCUCUUUGAAAGACACUGUCAAGAAAAUAAAAAAGCAGGCCAGGCACGGUGGCUCAUGCCUGUAAUCCCAGCACUUUGGGAGGCUGAGGCGGGUGGAUCACUUGAGGUCAGGAGUUCAAGACCAGCCUGGCCAACAUGGUGAAACCCCGUCUCUACUAAAAAUACAAAAAUUAGCCGGGCAUGGUGGUCCGUGCCUGUAGUCCCAGCACUAGGGAGGCUGAGGCAGCAGAGUCGCUUGAACCCGGGUGGCAGAGGUUGCAGUGAGCCAAGAUAGUGCCACUGUACUCCAGCCUGGGCGACAGAGCCAGACUCUGUCUCAAAAAAGAAAAGAAAAGAAAAGAGAAGAGGAGAAGAAAAGAAAAGAGCAGGCCGGGCGCGGCGGCUCACGCCUGUAAUCCCAGCACUUUGGGACGCUGAGGCGGGAGGAUCAUGAGGUCAGGAGUUUGAGACCAGCCUGGCCAAUAUGGUAAAACCCCAUCUCUACUAAAAAUACAAAAAUUAGCCAGGCAUGGUUGUGCAUGCCUGUAAUUCCAGCUACUGGGGAGGCUGACGCAGGAGAAUUGCUUGAAGUCGGGAGGCGGAGGUUGCAGUAAGCCAAGAUUGUGCCACCGCACUCCAGCCUGGGCAACAGAGUGAGACUGUCUCAAAAAACAAAACGAAACAAGUAAUGGAGCAAAGCUUCUGUUGCUCCACAUCCUCACUGGCAUUUGGUAUUUGAGGCAUAAUCUUAACACAUCACAAUCAAAGCCAACAGCCAACUUCCAAGCAAGUACAUAAUACACAAAGCAGAGCUGUGGACAAUGUAAUUACAACACAACUAAGGUUGAAUUAAUAAAUAAAUAUUUUAUACCAUGUUUGUACUUGAUAGUGAAAACAUCUUCGUUUCAACAAUCUGUGGAACACUUAUAAAAACUGAUAUUUUAGGUCACAAAGAAAACUUUCAUACAUUGCCCAAUGCGGAAACUGUACCAUAAUGUAAUAAAUGUUGAGAUAACGAAAGUUAAAACAGCAACAAAAAUAAAUAGAGACUACUAAACACUUGUCAAAGUCAUUAUUGCUUUGGAUUAAAGAGGUUUUUUUUUUUUUUUUUGAGAUGGAGUCUCGCUCUGUUGCUCAGGUUAGAGUGUAAUGGCGCGAUCUCAGCUCAUUGCAACCUCCGCCUCCCGGGUUCAAGCGAUUCUCCUGCCUCAACCUCCUGAGUAGCUGGGAUUACAGGGGCCUGCCACCACGCCCGGCUAAUUUUUGUAUUUUUAGUAGAGACAGGGUUUCGCCAUGUUGGCCAGGCUGUUCUUGAACUCCUGACCUGAUCCAUCCGCCUCCGUCUCCCAGAGUGCUGGGAUUACAGGCGUGAGCCACCGCGCCCGGCCAAAGAGGAAUUUUUUGAAUUUAAAGUCUAUAUAGAAAAUAAGGAAAAUAAGAGCCCAUUCAACUACAAACCCAUAGGGUGAAAUGAUUUCACUGUCACAUACACACACACACACAAAACAAUAAAUUUUCCGUAUUAAGAGGAAAAAAAGGAAAAGAAUUCCCAAGGAAAACAGGGAGGCAAUAAAGAUAACCGGCGACUGUGACUGCUGGUGUACUGUGUCCUCCCCCAGUUAAGCAAACUAUCAUUCAUCCACCUGUAUGUCCGGGGAACAGGCUCAAUCAACUCUGCGAAGCUUUCCCAAAGUCAGGCUUUCUGUCCUUUGGGCUUCUACAGUAGGCUGUUCAUAGCGCUAUCUCCUGGCACAGAACAUGUCAUCCAAGUUAGGCAUCAUCGUCGCCUGCUCUUGGUGAAGUUUUCUUUUGCGUACUGCGGAGAGAUGCGCUCAUUACCAGCUGGCGGUGGAGUCGCUGAAACGCAAAUGGAUUUGAGACUGAGCGACUCCCAUCUCUAUGGUUGGUAUGUGACCCAUCUAUCCUCUGGAGGACUCAGCAAGGACUACCAGUCACCAGACAACUUUACGCGCACGUGGUCGCAAGGUGAACUUGCUAUUGGUUAAUGGCAGUAAAGCCCGCCCAUCAGCGCUGGUCUGCUCCUUUAAAAGAACGCCAUCGACGCUCCCCUGUCUUUCAGCGCCUGCAGGUUCCGGGAGGUCAGGUUGUAUUCCUGGCGGGUCGUCUGGCUGGGUGGGCCCCGGAGGUCGUGGCUCGGGAGCAGGGAGGCGUAGGGGGGCCGGCCUGCUGUGAUGACAUUCCAAUUAAAGCACGUGUUAGACUGCUGACGCGGGUGAUGCGAACUGGAGUCUGAGCCUGCCCGAGCGGAGCUGGGAGGGGGCUGGCGGGCGGGCGCGCGCACACCCGCUGAUCUAUCACUCUCGUUCUUGUAGCUCCCAGCCGAGGACGUCGGAUGUCAUCGUCCUUGCUGCUUUGCCACCCCAUUCCCGUCAAUAAAGUGGUUUGAACCCAACCCUGGUGUCGGUGUGUGUCGUUGGCGACGCGCUGUCUUUGAGCCCCCGCCGAGCUUCCUCGUGGCGCCGGGGGUCAAUCUGCAGCGCUAGAGCAUGUGCUUGCGCAUAACUGGGGCCGCCUGGCCUCCCGCGGGCGGCCUUUUUAACCGCGAGCGACAAGAAGUAACCUGACUGUCCGGCUGCUAGGCUGGGCAAUUUUCCAGCUGUUUUGCCACGACAGGCCUCAAUCCGUAAUACCAAGGCUGGAAUGGCGUGUUAGGGGGGCGGUGGCUGACGGGGAUACGCGGACUCUUGAUGCGUAAGGAGUGCCCCUCUGCUCCCAUACGUUCCCCAGCCCAGCCUUCCCUGAGUGUAUCGCGCGCGCUGUGCCUUCGCCGUGAGUUCGACAUAAGUCCCAGGCUGUCGCGUCUGCCAUCAGACGCGCAGAUUUAGUUGAAGGCAGCGUGGAAUGGCGUCUGCAGGGCUGUUGUGUACUUGACAUAAACAGAUUCGGUGUGGAACUGCAUUGAGUUAACUCCUGACUAAAGGGUAAUCGACCUGUUUACAAAUAACCAUGCAGGAGUACUGACAAGCAUGGGACUAAAGCUUUGGGCAGGUUAAUCUGUCACUCCUAAACAGUUCAAAAUUAUAGGGCGGUUGUGAAGGUGAAUUAGAUUUUAUAUAUGGUUGGGGACAACAUAGACACCUAGUUACACAGUCCAGAUUCAGUGAUUGGUAAAAGAUCUUCCACAAGGGCUCCAGUGAAAGGUGCAUCAGUUCUGAGUACAGGGCAGCAAUGGUGGGCAAGGAUGCACGUAUGCGUUCACUACAUGGACAUUCGAUGAAUGAAGGUGUCCCGAAUUAACAUUAUACUAGACAAUGAAGGGUGUAAACUGCAGCCCAGGAGCACCACUGCCCUACCCCCUCAGUUACGAACUUUCACUGGAUUCUUUAAAUGUGGGCUGAAGAUAAUGGCACAUAGUUUGAAGGAUGUAGUGAGGAUGGCUUUGUAGCCUUAGGACUGGGCAGUGAUCAACGCAGUAAAUGAAAGCUGCGAUUGCCAGGUGAGGGCCCCGGUGCUCUGUACUCAUUUUAUUGUGCCCCUAUCUGAACAGGAUUCCGUAG